This 393-nucleotide ribosomal RNA is filed under the name uncultured bacterium. RNAcentral describes it as "partial 16S ribosomal RNA". It matches the Rfam family "Bacterial small subunit ribosomal RNA", at positions 523 to 918 of the family's 1533-position model. The record is from RNAcentral.
AUACGGAGGAUCCGAGCGUUAUCCGGAUUUAUUGGGUUUAAAGGGAGCGUAGGCGGGAGAUCAAGUCAGCUGUGAAAUGUAGAUGCUCAACAUCUGCACUGCAGUUGAAACUGGUUUUCUUGAGUGCGUAAGGGGCAGGCGGAAUUCGUCGUGUAGCGGUGAAAUGCUUAGAUAUGACGAAGAACUCCGAUCGCGAAGGCGGCCGGCCUGGCCGCGACUGACGCUGAAGCUCGAAGGUGCGGGUAUCGAACAGGAUUAGAUACCCUGGUAGUCCGCACAGUAAACGAUGGAUACUCGCUGUCGGCGAUAUACGGUCGGUGGCCAAGCGAAAGCGUUAAGUAUCCCACCUGGGGAGUACGCUGGCAACGGUGAAACUCAAAUGAAUUGGCGGGG